GAUGAACGCUGGCGGUAUGCUUUACACAUGCAAGUCAUACGGAAAUUAGUUUCGGCUAAUUUCAGUGGCGGACGGGUGAGUAACACGUGAGAAUUCGCCUUUAGGAGGGGGAUAACAGGGGGAAACACCUGCUAAAACCCCAUAUGCCUUCGGGUCAAAAGAGUAAUCUGCCUAAAGAGAAGCUCGCGGCUGAUUAGCUAGUUGGUAGGGUAAAGGCCUACCAAGGCGACGAUCAGUAGCUGGUCUGAGAGGAUGAUCAGCCACAUUGGAACUGAGACACGGUCCAGACUCCUACGGGUGGCUG
Molecule: ribosomal RNA, 304 nt
Filed under: uncultured cyanobacterium
Lineage: Bacteria; Bacillati; Cyanobacteriota
Description: bacterial SSU rRNA
Rfam family: Bacterial small subunit ribosomal RNA
Source: RNAcentral